CCUACGGGGUGCUGCAGUGGGGAAUAUUGGACAAUGGGCGAAAGCCUGAUCCAGCCAUGCCGCGUGUGUGAAGAAGGCCUUCGGGUUGUAAAGCACUUUCAGUGGGGAAGAAAGCCUUGGGGCUAAUACCCUCGAGGAAGGACAUCACCCACAGAAGAAGCACCAGCUAACUCCGUGCCAGCAGCCGCGGUAAUACGGAGGGUGCGAGCGUUAAUCGGAAUUACUGGGCGUAAAGCGCGCGUAGGCGGUCUGAUAAGCCGGUUGUGAAAGCCCCGGGCUCAACCUGGGAACGGCAUCCGGAACUGUCAGGCUAGAGUGCAGGAGAGGAAGGUAGAAUUCCCGGUGUAGCAGUGAAAUGCGUAGAGAUCGGGAGGAAUACCAGUGGCGAAGGCGGCCUUCUGGACUGACACUGACGCUGAGGUGCGAAAGCGUGGGUAGCAAACAGGAUUAGAUACCCGAGUAGUC
Molecule: ribosomal RNA, 465 nt
Filed under: Vreelandella stevensii
Lineage: Bacteria; Pseudomonadati; Pseudomonadota; Gammaproteobacteria; Oceanospirillales; Halomonadaceae
Description: partial 16S ribosomal RNA
Rfam family: Bacterial small subunit ribosomal RNA
Source: RNAcentral